Molecule: ribosomal RNA, 536 nt
Filed under: uncultured bacterium
Lineage: Bacteria
Description: bacterial SSU rRNA
Rfam family: Bacterial small subunit ribosomal RNA
Source: RNAcentral
AAUAGAUACCCGGGUAGUCCACGCCGUAAACGAUGGAUACUAGCUGUUGGGCGCAAGUUCAGUGGCUAAGCGAAAGUGAUAAGUAUCCCACCUGGGGAGUACGAACGCAAGUUUGAAACUCAAAGGAAUUGACGGGGGCCCGCACAAGCGGUGGAGCAUGUGGUUUAAUUCGAUGAUACGCGAGGAACCUUACCAAGGCUUAAAUGCAGACUGACCGGUUUGGAAACAGACCUUUCGCAAGACGGUCUACAAGGUGCUGCAUGGUUGUCGUCAGCUCGUGCCGUGAGGUGUCAGGUUAAGUCCUAUAACGAGCGCAACCCCUGUUGUUAGUUGCCAGCGAGUCAUGUCGGGAACUCUAGCAAGACUGCCAGUGCAAACUGUGAGGAAGGUGGGGAUGACGUCAAAUCAUCACGGCCCUUACGCCUUGGGCUACACACGUGCUACAAUGGCCGGUACAGAGAGCAGCCACCCCGGCGAGGGGGAGCGAAUCUAUAAAGCCGGUCACAGUUCGGAUCGGAGUCUGCAACUCGACUCCG